UUAUGAGGGGGAUUUCGGUCCCUUCUCUCCUUCCUUGUCUUUUGAGUACCCAAGUUUCUUUGGUAGGCUUGCCUGCCAUUGACAACCUAUAACCUUUUUAAUUUUAAUUCAGCGUCUGAAAACUUUAAUAAUUACAACUUUCAACAACGGAUCUCUUGGUUCUGGCAUCGAUGAAGAACGCAGCGAAAUGCGAUAAGUAGUGUGAAUUGCAGAAUUCAGUGAAUCAUCGAAUCUUUGAACGCACAUUGCGCCCCUUGGUAUUCCAUGGGGCAUGCCUGUUCGAGCGUCAUUUGUACCCUCAAGCUUUGCUUGGUGUUGGGUGUUUGUCCUAUUCUUUGCAAUAAGACUCGCCUUAAAACAAUUGGCAGCCAGUGUUUUGGCAUUGAAGCGCAGCACAUUUUGCAAUUCAAGCCCUAAUGCUUGCGUCCAUAAGCGUAUUUUACACUUUUGACCUCGGAUCAGGUAGGGAUACCCGCUGAACUUAAGCAUAUCAAUAAGCGGAG
This 503-nucleotide ribosomal RNA is filed under the name uncultured Phaeosphaeriaceae. RNAcentral's name for it is "eukaryotic LSU rRNA". The stretch from base 136 to 289 matches the Rfam family "5.8S ribosomal RNA". Lineage: Eukaryota; Fungi; Ascomycota; Dothideomycetes; Pleosporales; Phaeosphaeriaceae. The record is from RNAcentral.